This 510-nucleotide ribosomal RNA is filed under the name uncultured bacterium. Its description in RNAcentral is "bacterial SSU rRNA". It matches the Rfam family "Bacterial small subunit ribosomal RNA", at positions 28 to 505 of the family's 1533-position model. The record is from RNAcentral.
GACGAACGCUGGCGGCGUGCCUAACACAUGCAAGUCGAACGGGCCGAUGUGAAGUAGCAAUACGACACAAAGGUUAGUGGCGGACUGGUGAGUAACGCGUGGGUAAUCUACCCAUAAAACUGGGAUAACACCGGGAAAUCGGUGCUAAUACCGGAUAAGCUUUUAGCCCUGCAUGGGGUUGAGAGGAAAGGUGGCGAGCGCAAGCAGCUAUCGAUUAUGGAUGAGCCCGCGUCCCAUUAGCUAGUUGGUGAGGGUAAGAGCCCACCAAGGCGACGAUGGGUAGCCGGCCUGAGAGGGUGACCGGCCACACUGGGACUGAGAUACGGCCCAGACUCCUACGGGAGGCAGCAGUGGGGAAUUUUGCGCAAUGGGCGAAAGCCUGACGCAGCGACGCCGCGUGAGCGAAGAAGGCCUCGGUGUAAGCUCUGUCAUAAGGACGAGAGACAUAGGAACAAACAAUUACUAUGUAGGACGGUACCGUUAGGUAGGAAGGACCCGGCCGUAACUACG